CAGCAGCCGCGGUAAGACAGAGGAUGCAAGCGUUAUCCGGAAUGAUUGGGCGUAAAGGGUGCGUAGGCGGUUUGACAAGUCAUCUGUGAAAUCUAUGGGCUCAACCCAUAGUCUGCAGGCGAAACUGUCGGGCUUGAGUAUUGGAGAGGUGAGUGGAAUUUCCGGUGUAGCGGUGAAAUGCGUAGAUAUCGGAAGGAACACCUGUGGCGAAAGCGGCUCACUGGACAAUAACUGACGCUGAGGCACGAAAGCUAGGGGAGCAAACAGGAUUAGAUACCCCCGUAGUCCCUGUCUCUUAUAC
This 301-nucleotide ribosomal RNA is filed under the name uncultured bacterium. Its description in RNAcentral is "partial 16S ribosomal RNA". It matches the Rfam family "Bacterial small subunit ribosomal RNA", at positions 509 to 807 of the family's 1533-position model. The record is from RNAcentral.